AUUGAACGCUGGCGGCAGGCUUAACACAUGCAAGUCGAGCGGGGGAAGGUAGCUUGCUACCGGACCUAGCGGCGGACGGGUGAGUAAUGCUUAGGAAUCUGCCUAUUAGUGGGGGACAACAUCUCGAAAGGGAUGCUAAUACCGCAUACGUCCUACGGGAGAAAGCAGGGGAUCUUCGGACCUUGCGCUAAUAGAUGAGCCUAAGUCGGAUUAGCUAGUUGGUGGGGUGAAGGCCUACCAAGGCGACGAUCUGGAGCGGGUCUGAGAGGAUGAUCCGCCACACUGGGACUGAGACACGGCCCAGACUCCUACGGGAGGCAGCAGUGGGGAAUAUUGGACAAUGGGGGGAACCCUGAUCCAGCCAUGCCGCGUGUGUGAAGAAGGCCUUAUGGUUGUAAAGCACUUUAAGCGAGGAGGAGGCUACUCUAGUUAAUACCUGGGGAUAGUGGACGUUACUCGCAGAAUAAGCACCGGCUAACUCUGUGCCAGCAGCCGCGGUAA
This 501-nucleotide ribosomal RNA is filed under the name uncultured bacterium. RNAcentral's name for it is "partial 16S ribosomal RNA". It matches the Rfam family "Bacterial small subunit ribosomal RNA", at positions 30 to 523 of the family's 1533-position model. The record is from RNAcentral.